This is a long non-coding RNA of Brassica napus (rape), 6146 nucleotides long. RefSeq lists it as uncharacterized. The record is from RefSeq and is a predicted model, not a curated record. Lineage: Eukaryota; Viridiplantae; Streptophyta; Magnoliopsida; Brassicales; Brassicaceae. The transcript is spliced from 2 exons.
UUAGUUACACAAAACAAUGUCAUUAGAGUUUAUAGAGAUAAGGAUAAUGGACUCCAUGUUUUUUCAUUUGAAGUAUGCGCGGUAUUAUCUGAAAGUUUUUCAUUUUAUGUCUAUGUCGUAAGAAACAAUGACAUUCAAAUCUUUUUAUGGUAUCUGGCUAAAAAUUGAUAUUUAUCAUUGUUCUCUACCCUGUGAAAACCAUUAAUUUUGUUUUUGUUGGAUGAACAAUUAACUUUGAGAACUACAUGGAUUACAUGGAUUGAGUUUAUUUUAAAUUCUAAACUACUAAUAGGGCAUACUCCUAGACACUGUGAAAAAUGUCAAUUAUCAAUAUUACACACAAUAAUUUCAUUUAAACCCAAACACAUAGUAAUAGCUAACAUAAACAUAAAGUAAUUUAUCCUAUUUUAUCUAAAAUAUUUGUUAGAGAAAAAUGAUUUAAUAAACAUUAAAGUGUAAUAUAUUUAUAGUUUUUCAGUAAAAAUGUUUUAAUAUUUUAUUAAUUUUUUAAAAAAUAAUGACUAAAAUUAAACAAAUAUUUAAUUGGUUUAAGGUCAAAAAAUAAGAUGAAUCAUAUAAGAUUAGAUUAUAGCGUUGACCACGAAAAACCAAAAUAUAAUUAAAAAUAUACGUAAAAUAUUUAAUCAAAUUAGUUUUCAAAUAAAAAAUUUCCAAUCUUUAAUAGUAAAAAGAAAAGUUUGACUUCACUCUCCACCACAAUAUGUAAACAUUAUUAUUAAAUAUUUUUCUAAACUACUAGUAUUUUUAUUCAAAAAAAAAAGAAAUCUAAACUAGUAUAGUAUUGAUAAAUAGAAUGUAAUAAUUUCAGCAAGAUUGCAUGCAGAAAUUUUCAGUUUAAAUUCUAUUCAAUACUAAAACAUUAUUUAUCAUCUAUAAAAAUAUAUUUUAAAUACUUAUAUUAAAAUUUAGAUAUAGUUAUUUUGAAUUAAAAAUUGAAAACAUUAUUUAAUUGCACAAAUUCUCUUAAACAUCUAUAAUAAUAAAGCAGAGUUUAGUUUUCUCCCACCUUAGGCCUCCACAUCAUCGAGAAGGAGGGGGCAAUUAAGGACACGUGUCCAUCUUUUAUUUCCGCAAGCCAGUUUUCUUGACUUCAAUUUGGGUUAUUUAUGUUUCUGUAGAAAUGACAAGGCUCAAUCUCUCAUUUGACCAAAAAAGCCCUAACAUGUCUCCUUCACUUUGUUUGUUCGUUUCGAUCUGAGGAACCCUGUCCGUUUCGAUUCCUUUCCCCAGCUGAGAAAUGUCAAUCGUUAUGGAAUUGGAACCUCAAUACCCACUAAUCUGGUUAUGGUCAAGAAAGGUGGAGCGUCGAUGGGUAGUGAUCUGGUCCUGGCUUGAUGGAAAGGUACUGAGACAUUUCCUUUUCUCAAUUAUCGAUCCCUAUAUUGCUAUCCCAUUAUCCCGUUCCUUUUUCUUUUCUUUUUUUGCGCAACUCCUUCCUUUUUCUAUGAUUAUACUUCUUUCUCAGUGUUUAUAUUGUUGGUUUUGCUAGAGAUUUCGAUGUUCAUGUUGUUGUGGAGCUCUAUUUCUCUGAGCUUAAGGCUAGCCAUUGUAGGAAGGUUGUGGUGACGAGGCUUCUUAUGUUUUUGGAAACUUGAAUUAUUAAGAAAUUCUGUUCUCGGAAGCUGGAAAUAAUAAGAGAUUGGAGAGUUGAUGGGCGUGGAUCUGCUAAUGGUCAAUCGAAAGGUAAUUAUUCUUACUGUCUACUUCGAUUUAAAAACCUGUGCACCUUCUGGAUUAUCCUUCUUACAAGUGUUCUUAUAUGGCCGCAGUCAACAAAGCAACAUAGCUUCUGCUCAGGCUCUGAACCACCGAUACCAUCGCUAUGUACAUCAUGUACCUUAUGGCCGUCACAACCCUUCGGUAUUUGAACUGAAAUACUGAUGAUAUGGGUCAGAUGUACGAGCUAUACUUCGAGCUUACUAUUCAGCUUCAUGCAAUUUGAUGGGGUUAGUUCUUUCUUUUCUUUUGUGUGUAUUCACAUGCCGAUCCUGAAGCUAGAUUUAAAUCUCUAGAUCAGAUUUCAAUUUCUAUGUUUUAACUAAGAAAGUUCUAUUUGGAAAAAUUCAUGAUUUUGUAAAUACCAUGCUUCCUGAAAUUUUGUUGCUAUUUCGGUUUUUUCUUUCGGAUUCUCAAUGAUGAUUCAUGAAGAUUAAGCGUUGACUUCAAAUAUGUGUUUUUUGAAUUGGUAAUUAUUGUGAAAACCUGUGGUCGGAACAUGAAUUUAUGAAUUUUGUUGCGUUCUAUUAGCUCUUUGACUCGCUCUCUAUAGCAUCCCAUAAAUAAUGAGAUGAUGUGUGUUUACGCUCCCCUCUGUUCUUGAUGCUCUCUUUUUGAUUCCCGAUGGAUAGUUCAUCAAGAUAUAUGUGCCUGAUUUCAUGUAUAUGUUUUUAGGAUUGCAACAUUUAGAUUGCCACUGAUGGGAACAUGAAAUUAUAAUAUUUUUAGUAGCGUUAUAUUAGCUCUUUGACUAUACUUUUCAGAUGCAAUACUUACUGUUGUGCUCUCAGUGUGGAGAAGCAGACUCUUAUUUCUCAAAUCUGCUAAACUUUUUUCCCCGCGUACUCUACUAUCAAUUUGUUUUUCUUCUUAAACUUGAUCAGCUUAGUUGAUGACAACCAACAAUCUGUCUGGCCCUUUUAUCUAGGAUUGUUCGGCCUUGAAUCUGCUUGCAUCAAAAGCCUUUGACCUUCCUCAUCCUACCAAGGGUCGAUCAUCUUCGUAGGUAUCUUAUUUACGUGUUACUGCUCUCCGAUGAGGCGAUGACCAUACAGCACACUGGAAACAAAAAUACCAAGCCUCUAAAUGUGUCCCCAAGUCUCACUACCGGCCUACCGUCUACAGAUAUAGCACGACUCAAGUCGGAGCGUCUUAGAGACCAUGGAGAAGAAGGAACAAAUGCAGUUUCUUAUGAACCUGCUGCAGACAAGACAAGGCACCAAGGAGAAACGCUUCGUUGAACCCCUUUUGAUAUGCAAGAGCCCGCACAAUACUCACUCAUUUCUGUUUUUAAUGAUUAUUCCAAUAGAGGAGAAACAAUUAACACAAAACGUGUUGGUUGUUUAGUCUUCAUGCGAGAUAUUCAUGUGAAAUACUAGCUCCUCUUUCACUUUUUUGGUGCGACGAGUAUGCUGUGAUUAAAUUAUUUGAUUGUGUUGAUUACUUGAUUUUGUUGAGCAUGAAAUUUACUUGCAUAAUUGUAAUAUGAUGCUUGAUUUGUCGUGAUUCCUUUUCUUUUCUGUAAGGUAGCCAAUAGGAAAAUUCAAAACCUCAAUCUUUAAGACAAUGACCACUGUCGGGCAUGUAAUAUUUGUUACAAAUUUUCCAACAAUCAAGGUUGCACCAAAACAAGUCCAGGUGACCACAAAUUUUGAAAACCAAAAACUAAAUACCAUUCAUCUCUUUUUAUUUUUAUUAUGUUUAUUUUACUCCAAGUUAGAUUGCAGCUUAGAUUUUAUCGGUCUUUAGACAAGGACCAUGGCUGGAUAUAUGCGAAGUAAUUGUGUGAAUUUAUCAAAUGAUCUUAUAUAAUAACUGACCAAUUUGGCUACUAUAUUUUCUAAACUAAAUUAUUUAAGUAUUGAACAAUUUCCAAAAUAUAAAAGUUAAAAACAUCAUAUAUGCUACCAAUAUAAUAAAACAAUAUCACAAAAUAACAAAAGAAUCAAAAAUAAAUAUAAUUAAUAACACAAAUUAUUCUAUUAAAUAAUUUUAAAUAAUAACAAUAAUAGAAAACCCGGCGCGUAGCCCCGGCCAACCCCUAGUCAUUUAAAAUAAUAAAAAAUAGGUAGAAUUAAUUAUACUCAAUCAUAACUUUCCAUUUACAAAGAAAAUUUCCAACCAUGUCGUAGAAAAGUUGGCAGACACCCUCAUCAAUUGUUUACAUAAUAUAAUCUAUAAAAGUAGAUUGCAAAUUGAUUGAGAAUACAAAACACUUACCUGAUCACUUGAAAGUUGUUGUUAUUUUUAUUUGAUAUCUCAAUCACAUGGUAGAUUGGACGCGAUGUCAUCACCUAUUUCUGUAAAUAUUUUUUUUUUAAUAAAGGACAGCUAAUCUAAUAUAUAACAAAUUUGCAAUAAAGGUAACUUUGAUAUUUUUAGACUUUUAUUACUUUUGCAUUGCUUAAAUUUUUUAUGUCACUUAAUUUAAAAGCCAAAACUAUGGAAAUUAUAAAAUACUAGAUCUUUUUGUCCGCGCUACGCGUGGAUUGUGUGUAUUAUAAAAUUUUAUAGUAUUUUUAUAUUUGGAAUUUUUACAGUAUUUCUCUUAUAAAUCAUAGAAUGUAAAAGAUAAUAAAACAGAUGAUAACUUUAAUUUUUUUCAUUGCGAUUUCUUGAAUUGAAGAACUUCACAUUGUUCUUUAUCAUUUUGUCUCAUAUUAGUUUUUUGUAAUUUUUUCUAAUCAAUUCAUAUUUAAAGUGGUGUUAAUUAUUAAUCUGUACACUAUUUUAAUAUAUGAAAAAUAUUAUUGUAAUAGUAUUUGAAUUGUUUUUGAUUCAAAACACUUGUAGUCAUCAAAUAUUAAAAUAAACACUAACUUGAUUUUUCUUUUGUUCCAAAAUUGUUACUCCUCUUUAGCCCAUAAAACAAACUGUUUUAAUUUAUUAGUUUGAUUUAUUUUUAAUUAAUUGUAACACUAAAAUUUUGAGAGUAAAUAUUCAGUUUUAGUUUGGGGAUAUAAUUUAAGUUAUCUUUUAGUUAACAUGUUACUAUUUAUUUUAUAACAAUUUGGAGUAAUUUAUUUCAUAUGUUUGUAUAUUAUUUGAAUUUCAAAAAAUAUCUGAUGCACUAGCUUUUUGUGACAAAUCAAAUUAAUGAUUCCAUUAGUUUUUUCACUAAAUCAAUUCCAUGUAGUUAAUAGUAACAGUAACAGCUUCGUCAAAGAAGAAGUGUACGUCAUUUGAUAUAGGUGAAUUUUGCAAGAUUAAACUCGUAACAACAUGGAAAUAAAGAGAAGAUGGUCUAUUUGUCAAAAAAAAAGAGAAGAUGGUCUCUUUCAAGAUUAAAGGUGUCAAAUUGUUUGUGAUUGUUUACAAAAAUAUAUUAUAAAAAUAAUGUUAAAAAUAUUAGAAUAUAAAACUUAAAUAAUGAUAGAAAUUCAAAUUUCUAAUAUUAUUAAACGAAACUUUAGUUUUAAUACUUAUAUUCAAAUCUGUUUAAUUUCCUAUCUUAUAAUUUACAAUACAUAAUUUAAAAAUAAAAAAAAAUUAUAAUACUAUUAUGACUAAAAACUAAUAGGUCUAUAUGGCCCAUCAAUUUUUUUUGUUAACUUGAUUUAUGAUAGAUGAUAAUCUGGAAAAAUUAUCUGGUGCAGAUAUGCUAUCAUGUCCUAUGUGAUCGAGAGAACAAAAAGCAAGAUAAAUGAAUUAUGUAAACUAUUUAUCGAGGCCCACCAUUUGGUAUUGUUGCUUACAUCCAUGAUCUCAUAAGCAUGCGCUUGGUACCAUUGCUUCUGCCUCUAAAUUCGGUCAUGCCAUCCCUAAAAGAGAUGACCCCCAGUCAAGACGAUCACGUAAAACCCAUUCAUCUUAGUAUUGGAAGCAGUAUCAUAGUUAUACUUCACCAUACCGUCAAUUGGACGUUCCCAACUUGUAUGUGAUAACAAAAAGCUCAACAUCAAUUUGUUAAUGAAGUUAUAACUGUAGUCUUCACCUAUUCAUCCACCUCUGCAUUAGUCGUUCCCCAUCUCCUUUGAAGUUGUCUGGUUGCACUUCCUUUUCUUGACUGUAAAGUAAACAGUAUCAUAAUGCACUUCCUUUAAGCUAAACAAAUGUAGUAUCAUAUACAGGCUUCAACUUUGCAUAACAAAACACCGAUAUAAAAUGUAUGAAUAUGUUUUCAGCAAGAUGUAAUAAAGAAACCAAUAGCAGGUUAAGUAAAGAAAUCCAUAUAUCAUAGAUUAACCAAACUCAGAGUAACCAUCAACAAUCAAAACUCUUCAUUUCAAAGGCUGCAGAAAAAUAAUUUUGCAUCCCAUAUAUUUUCAGUAUUCUGAAUCGAUAACUAAACAGAUUGUAAGAUAAAAUAUCUCUUUCUCCUUUCCAUUUUUCAUAAAUGGCUGAUUAGAAGCCCAAUAAGCUCCUCCAGAAAUCAUAUUUUUAUUGCCUAGAAAUAAAACCGAAUCAUU